RNAcentral lists this ribosomal RNA (240 nucleotides) under uncultured bacterium. Its description in RNAcentral is "partial 16S ribosomal RNA". It matches the Rfam family "Bacterial small subunit ribosomal RNA", at positions 1252 to 1500 of the family's 1533-position model. The record is from RNAcentral.
AGGUGGCGACACCGCGCGGAACCCGAAAGCCGUUCUCAGUUCGGAUCGGAGUCUGCAACCCGACUCCGUGAAGCUGGAUUCGCUAGUAAUCGCGCAUCAGCCAUGGCGCGGUGAAUACGUUCCCGGGCCUUGUACACACCGCCCGUCAAGCCAUGGGAGCCGGGGGUGCUUGAAGUGCGUCGCCGCAAGGCGCGCCCUAGAGCAAAACCGGUGACUGGGGCUAAGUCGUAACAAGGUAUC